GACGAACGCUGGCGGCGUGCCUAAUACAUGCAAGUAGAACGCACAGUUUAUACCGUAGCUUGCUACACCAUAAACUGUGAGUUGCGAACGGGUAAGUAACGCGUAGGUAACCUGCCUGGUAGCGGGGGAUAACUAUUGGAAACGAUAGCUAAUACCGCAUAAUAUUGAUUAUUGCAUGAUAAUUGAUUGAAAGAUGCUAUUGCAUCACUACCAGAUGGACCUGCGUUGUAUUAGCUAGUAGGUGAGGUAACGGCUCACCUAGGCGACGAUACAUAGCCGACCUGAGAGGGUGAUCGGCCACACUGGGACUGAGACACGGCCCAGACUCCUACGGGAGGCAGCAGUAGGGAAUCUUCGGCAAUGGACGAAAGUCUGACCGAGCAACGCCGCGUGAGUGAAGAAGGUUUUCGGAUCGUAAAGCUCUGUUGUAAGAGAAGAACGGGUGUGAGAGUGGAAAGUUCACACUGUGACGGUAUCUUACCAGAAAGGGACGGCUAACUACGUG
This 505-nucleotide ribosomal RNA is filed under the name uncultured bacterium. Its description in RNAcentral is "partial 16S ribosomal RNA". It matches the Rfam family "Bacterial small subunit ribosomal RNA", at positions 28 to 507 of the family's 1533-position model. The record is from RNAcentral.